GAAGAAGAUGUUUCUUCUGAUGAAGAACAAAGCAUCCAUCCUGUAGGCCUUUCAAAACGCCGCAGGAUAUCUUCUUCAUCAAGUGAAGACUCUGAUUCCAGCGAGCCACUGCUACCAACCUGUCCCUGCUGUACUGGGAGAAGGAAACGUUCUUCCUCUUCCGAUGAGGCUCUCAAUGAAGAAGUGAG
Molecule: non-coding RNA, 188 nt
Organism: Parasteatoda tepidariorum (common house spider)
Lineage: Eukaryota; Metazoa; Arthropoda; Arachnida; Araneae; Theridiidae
Source: RefSeq, a predicted model, not a curated record